This 65-nucleotide microRNA precursor is filed under the name Bombyx mori (domestic silkworm). Its description in RNAcentral is "mir-2774 microRNA precursor family". It matches the Rfam family "mir-2774 microRNA precursor family". The record is from Rfam by way of RNAcentral. Lineage: Eukaryota; Metazoa; Arthropoda; Insecta; Lepidoptera; Bombycidae.
ACAACAUUCGGACUAUCGGUCUACCGAGCAAUUUCACCAGCCGGGCGGAAGAUCUUUCCUGUCGU